UUAGGUUAAGUUAGAAAGGGCGCACGGUGAAUGCCUUGGCACUAGGAGCCGACGAAGGACGCGACGAACAGCGAUAUGCCUCGGGGAGUUGUAAGUAAACUUUGAUCCGGGGAUUUCCGAAUGGGGGAACCCACNAUCCGUAAUGGGAUGGUAUCCAUAUCUGAAUACAUAGGGUAUGAGAAGGCAGACCUGGGGAACUGAAACAUCUAAGUACCCAGAGGAAGAGAAAGAAAUAUUCGAUUACCUGAGUAGCGGCGAGCGAAACGGUAACAGCCCAAACCAAGGGGCUUGCCCCUUGGGGUUGUAGGACACUCUAAACGGAGUUACAAAGAAACGAAGUAGACGAAGCGAUCUGGAAAGGUCCG
Molecule: ribosomal RNA, 365 nt
Filed under: Anaerobacillus alkalidiazotrophicus
Lineage: Bacteria; Bacillati; Bacillota; Bacilli; Caryophanales; Bacillaceae
Description: bacterial LSU rRNA
Rfam family: Bacterial large subunit ribosomal RNA
Source: RNAcentral